GACGAACGCUGGCGGCGUGCUUAACACAUGCAAGUCGAACGGUGAACCUCUUCGGAGGGGAUCAGUGGCGAACGGGUGAGUAACACGUGGGCAACCUGCCCCCGGCUCUGGGAUAACUCCAAGAAGUUGGGGCUAAUACCGGAUGUUCACCGCUUCCCGCAUGGGUGGUGGUGGAAAGGGUUUCCGGCUGGGGAUGGGCCCGCGGCCGAUCAGCUUGUUGGUGGGGUAGUGGCCUACCAAGGCGACGACGGGUAGCCGGCCUGAGAGGGUGACCGGCCACACUGGGACUGCGACACGGCCCAGACUCCUACGGGAGGCAGCAGUGGGGAAUAUUGCGCAAUGGGCGGAAGCCUGACGAAGCGACGCCGCGUGGGGGAUGACGGCCUUCGCGUUGUAAACCUCUUUCCGCAGGGACGAAGCGCAAGUGACGGUACCUGAAGAAGAAGCACCGGCCAACUACGUG
This 463-nucleotide ribosomal RNA is filed under the name uncultured bacterium. RNAcentral's name for it is "partial 16S ribosomal RNA". It matches the Rfam family "Bacterial small subunit ribosomal RNA", at positions 28 to 507 of the family's 1533-position model. The record is from RNAcentral.